RNAcentral lists this unclassified non-coding RNA (192 nucleotides) under Rhizophagus sp. (in: glomeromycetes). RNAcentral's name for it is "Rhizophagus sp. (in: Fungi) partial internal transcribed spacer region". The stretch from base 1 to 46 matches the Rfam family "Eukaryotic small subunit ribosomal RNA", at positions 1786 to 1831 of the family's 1831-position model. Lineage: Eukaryota; Fungi; Glomeromycota; Glomeromycetes; Glomerales; Glomeraceae. The record is from RNAcentral.
AAGUCGUAACAAGGUUUCCGUAGGUGAACCUGCGGAAGGAUCAUUACCGAUUUAGCGAACCUGACCUCUUUUGGUCAUGGUCUCGCGAAAAUUUUGUAUUUAAAACCCCACUCUUUUUUGUUAAUAAUUUUAAAUGAAAUCAUUUUAUUAUGUAAAUAAAGAUCACUUUCAACAACGGAUCUCUUGGCUCUC